This 253-nucleotide ribosomal RNA is filed under the name uncultured bacterium. Its description in RNAcentral is "partial 16S ribosomal RNA". It matches the Rfam family "Bacterial small subunit ribosomal RNA", at positions 524 to 776 of the family's 1533-position model. The record is from RNAcentral.
UACGGGGGGGGCAAGCGUUGUUCGGAAUUACUGGGCGUAAAGGGCUCGUAGGCGGCCAACUAAGUCAGACGUGAAAUCCCUCGGCUUAACCGGGGAACUGCGUCUGAUACUGGAUGGCUAGAGGUUGGGAGAGGGAUGCGGAAUUCCAGGUGUAGCGGUGAAAUGCGUAGAUAUCUGGAGGAACACCGGUGGCGAAGGCGGCAUCCUGGACCAAUUCUGACGCUGAGGAGCGAAAGCCAGAGGAGCAAACGGG